GACCCUUCAGCUCAGGUGUUCCUUCCACUUGAUCUCCCUUUGAAAAUAAAGUUGCUCUAGGUCCUAAGUCUUACCUUUAAUACUUUAAAUUCCAAGCCAACUUAUUACUUGCUCAAGAGACGACUUUUCUUCCCAUGUCUUAAGCAAAGUUCUUAAUCUGAGCCCUGUACUCUAAUACACAACACCACAUUCAUUGAAUUUUUUUGACCUAGUGAAUGCAUUCUAGGUAUAUCAAACAAGAUAAUGUAAAUGCUUAUGAUGACAUGUCAGAGUUUUAGUUAACGUAACACCAGGGGUGUUACAGAAAUGUCCCCUUUCCUCUGAAACCAUAGAGUGGGUUGUCGGUUGGCAGAAGUAGGCUGUGGUUGAUGCCCAUCUGGUCGAAAGCAUGCAGGAGGAUGAUGUCGGCUUGGCUCUCGUUGUCAACGAGGACCUUGUGUAGCUCCCAACCUACCACAUUGCAACUGAUGACGAGUGCGUUCGUAUGGAGCACGCUACGAAGGUCGACAUCUCUUGCGUCAAAGGUUAAUGGUACAUGAGACCACUUCGUCUAGAUGACAUGUCUUGUGACGGUGACAUGGUUGACCCUUCGAUGGUGAUCCCUUUUUUGUCGUUUAUUCUCGAAAUCCAAGCUAGACCCUCCGGUGAUCAUAUGAAUCACUCCUCUGAAGGGUGGAUCAAUG
This 683-nucleotide long non-coding RNA is filed under the name Zea mays. RNAcentral's name for it is "drought responsive lncRNA". Lineage: Eukaryota; Viridiplantae; Streptophyta; Magnoliopsida; Poales; Poaceae. The record is from RNAcentral.